AUUUAAUGGUUGAAUAAAAUAGAUCUAACCAUUUCUGAUUUGGCUAAGCAAAGUCAAGUCUGACAAUUUUGUUCCAUGAUAGCUAGCUGCUAUCAGGCAUUAACAUAGCACAAGGAGUCAAACAACAACUAAGCCAGUUCUGGAUGGAAAAGGAACUUUGACAUAGACUUUUAUGAAAACUUGUCUGAAUAGGGUGUACACUUCACUCUGAUGAUCGAACUUCUGAGAUCCACAAGUUUUCAGGACUUAUCUAUUGUCUUCCUUGUUGGGAGUUGACGGAACCAUACCCAGUGGAUGAAAGUCAUAUGGAACCACACUAAUCGUUGUUUUGUAGAUAUACUUUCAACAGAUCAGGACAUCCCAACCCCUUUUCUGAUGAUGUCACUGAUUGGACACAGACAACUGAAUGUGUGAGUACCAGCAACAUGUUCAAGAAGGAUUUCUACAACUACACUGGUGGAAUCUGUUUCAAAUCUUCCUGACCACUCACAUGGCAGAACGAUGCCAGGGUCAGAUCACUUGGCUUCACACUCCAUUUUCAGUCCGAAAGAGCUCCACACUCUACAGGUCAGAGUACUAUGGGCCAGUUGACUGGAAAGGUCACAUGGUCCCAACACAGUCGACGACACUGUUGUGGUGUUAAUCUUUAAUUAGUGAAGUGUUGGAAACUCACGGUUCCAUUAUACACCUACACUUACUUGUUAGGACAAUCAGGCAAUUUUCUGGGUCCACAUCCCACUGACUGCAAUAACUGAUUUUGGAACUUUCAUCACUGAUGCAAUACAAAGAACUGAAGACAAGAACUAAAGGAAGCUUGAUUGGAAACCAACUUCUUUACUAACAAUCUAAGAUUUUCCUAAAUGAACUGAUAUGUUGAUUUCAUAUGUAUGAAGAUUUGUUUCUCGCAAGACAGGGGAAACUCUGUAAAAUGACAAUCCCAAUAUUGGACUUUGGAAUAUUUUGUGAUGAUGCUUAAUGAUCUACAUCAUGGUAUGUUUGGACAGUGAAUUGUUCCCUAUUAUAGGUGGUUCCUGUCAAAGGUACAUGUUUUUUCUAAUUUAAAGGUAGAAUCUUUCACAGGUACAACAGGAUAUGCAUAAGUCUUUUGUAUGAUAUUGUCGCAUGGCUCAUGAUACGGACAAGGGUUUUUUUGAUUGUUCAAUGGACUUUGGGGGAAUGUUUCAUCAUGAUGUCAUGUUGAGUCUGAUUUUCUGCUGAACAUCGUUAACACUGAUAAUAACCUGUUGAUGUCAAAAUUCUUCUUGAUCUUAUAAACUGCGGUGGGGACGGGAUUGAUGACUGUUAUUCAUUGAGUUUUGUGUCGGAGUGUGGUGUGUAAAUUGUCUUGUUUACAUUCAUUUGAAUUUGAGGAACAAUAAGGCCUGAUUGGUCAGAUACUCCUUUGUUGUUUCAUCUUAGUCAUUUGUAACAUAAGUGUAUGGGCCUUUUCUUUUUAAUAGGAAUUUAAUUGUACUUGUAAUGUCUUAUCAAACAUGUUUUUCUUUAAAUGUUUGAUAGGGGGGAGUGUGGAAUCUGAGCAUUAACAAUUACAAUGAGAAUGUAUGUUUCAUUGGAAGUGGAUGUGCCUAGAUAAUGCGAACAACAGAAACCUCUCUGUUUAGAUUAUCUCUCUGUAGAUUGCGCUCUGAUAACCGCAGGAAUGUUUGCAUUGACCAUUUGGCAUGGGGGUUACCUGAUCUUUGCUAGGUUGACACACCCUUCAAUGGAUAUAUCAGCUUGUAACCAACACUACAGUGAGAAGAGAUUGAGUGAGAUGAGAUUGAGGUUGUGUAAGGAAGACCAGGUCCGUAACCUCAUGAACAAGACUUUCUAAUGCUGCAAUAAAUAAUUGAAUUACUCUCUCCC
Molecule: long non-coding RNA, 1866 nt
Organism: Esox lucius (northern pike)
Lineage: Eukaryota; Metazoa; Chordata; Actinopteri; Esociformes; Esocidae
Source: Ensembl